UUUUUUAUGGCCGAGCAGGCCUUAGAUUUUUAAUCUAAUCACGGAGUUUCCU
This 52-nucleotide transfer RNA is filed under the name Fruticicola koreana. Its description in RNAcentral is "tRNA-Lys". The record is from RNAcentral. Lineage: Eukaryota; Metazoa; Mollusca; Gastropoda; Stylommatophora; Camaenidae.